GUGGGGGAUAUUGCACAAUGGAGGAAACUCUGAUGCAGCGACGCCGCGUGAGUGAAGAAGUAUUUCGGUAUGUAAAGCUCUAUCAGCAGGGAAGAUAAUGACAGUACCUGACUAAGAAGCCCCGGCUAACUACGUGCCAGCAGCCGCGGUAAUACGUAGGGGGCAAGCGUUAUCCGGAUUUACUGGGUGUACAGGGAGCGUAGACGGAAUGGCAAGUCUGAAGUGAAAUCCUGCGGCUUAACUGCAGAAUUGCUUUGGGUACUGUCAAUCUGGAAUGUUGGAGAGUAAAGCGGGAUACCGGGUGUAGCGGUGAAAGGCGUAGAUAUCAGGAAGAACACCGGAGGCGGAGACGGCCUACUGGACAAUAACAGACGUAGUGGAUCGAUAGCGUGGGAAGCAAACAAAAUUAGAAACCCGUGUAGUCC
Molecule: ribosomal RNA, 425 nt
Filed under: uncultured bacterium
Lineage: Bacteria
Description: partial 16S ribosomal RNA
Rfam family: Bacterial small subunit ribosomal RNA
Source: RNAcentral